This 1506-nucleotide ribosomal RNA is filed under the name metagenome. Its description in RNAcentral is "bacterial LSU rRNA". It matches the Rfam family "Bacterial large subunit ribosomal RNA", at positions 1277 to 2911 of the family's 2925-position model. The record is from RNAcentral.
UUAGAUCAGAAGCGAGAAUGUUGACAUGAGUAGCGAUAAAGAGGGUGAGAGACCCUCUCGCCGUAAGUCCAAGGGUUCCUGCUUAAAGCUAAUCUGAGCAGGGUAAGCCGGCCCCUAAGGCGAGGCCGAAAGGCGUAGUCGAUGGGAACCAGGUUAAUAUUCCUGGGCCAGGAGGAAGUGACGGAUCUCGAAGGUAGUUUGCCCUUAUCGGAUUGGGUGGGCUGCUCAGAGGUUCCAGGAAAUAGCCCUCCAUCAGACCGUACCCUAAACCGACACAGGUGGACUGGUGGAGUAUACCAAGGCGCUUGAGAGAACCACGUUAAAGGGACUCGGCAAAAUGCCUCCGUAAGUUCGCGAGAAGGAGGCCCCAUAUGUGCGCAAGCAUGUGUGGGGGGCACAAACUAGGGGGUGGCGACUGUUUACUUAAAACACAGGGCUGUGCGAAGCCGUAAGGCGACGUAUACAGUCUGACGCCUGCCCGGUGCUGGAGGGUUAAAAGGAGGGGUGCAAGCUCUGAAUUGAAGCCCCAGUAAACGGCGGCCGUAACAAUAACGGUCCUAAGGUAGCGAAAUUCCUUGUCGGGUAAGUUCCGACCUGCACGAAUGGCGUAACGAUCUCCCCGCUGUCUCUAACGUGGACUCAGCGAAAUUGAACUGUGUGUCAAGUUGCACACUACCCGCGGUUAGACGGAAAGACCCCAUGCACCUUUACUCCAGCUUUGCACUGGUAUCAGGAUUGUGAUGUGCAGGAUAGGUGGUAGGCAUCGAAGCGGGGACGCCAGUUCUCGUGGAGCCUCCCUUGAGAUACCACCCUUCGCCAUCUUGAUAUCUAACCGCGGCCCGUUAUCCGGGUCCGGGACCCUGCAUGGUGGGGAGUUUGACUGGGGCGGUCGCCUCCCAAACAGUAACGGAGGCGCGCGAAGGUAGGCUCAGACCGGUCGGAAAUCGGUCGUUGAGUGCAAUGGCAGAAGCCUGCCUGACUGCAAGUCUGACAAGACGAGCAGAGACGAAAGUCGGUCAUAGUGAUCCGGUGGUCCCAAGUGGGAGGGCCAUCGCUCAACGGAUAAAAGGUACGCUGGGGAUAACAGGCUGAUGAUGCCCAAGAGUCCAUAUCGACGGCAUCGUUUGGCACCUCGAUGUCGGCUCAUCUCAUCCUGGGGCUGGAGCAGGUCCCAAGGGUAUGGCUGUUCGCCAUUUAAAGAGGUACGUGAGCUGGGUUUAGAACGUCGUGAGACAGUUCGGUCCCUAUCUGCCGUGGGUGUAGGAGACUUGAGAAGAGUUGCCCCUAGUACGAGAGGACCGGGGUGAACGAACCACUGGUGGACCAGUUGUCGUGCCAACGGCAGUGCUGGGUAGCUAUGUUCGGACAGGAUAACCGCUGAAGGCAUCUAAGCGGGAAGCCCCCUUCAAAACAAGGUCUCCCUUGAGAGCCGUGGAAGACCACCACGUCGAUAGGCCGGAGGUGUAAGUGCAGCAAUGCAUUCAGCUGACCGGUACUAAUUGCUCU